Molecule: ribosomal RNA, 1359 nt
Filed under: Curtobacterium flaccumfaciens
Lineage: Bacteria; Bacillati; Actinomycetota; Actinomycetes; Micrococcales; Microbacteriaceae
Also listed under: 1 other name
Description: partial 16S ribosomal RNA
Rfam family: Bacterial small subunit ribosomal RNA
Source: RNAcentral
CAGUCGAACGAUGAUGCCCAGCUUGCUGGGUGGAUUAGUGGCGAACGGGUGAGUAACACGUGAGUAACCUGCCCCUGACUCUGGGAUAAGCGUUGGAAACGACGUCUAAUACUGGAUAUGAUCACUGGCCGCAUGGUCUGGUGGUGGAAAGAUUUUUUGGUUGGGGAUGGACUCGCGGCCUAUCAGCUUGUUGGUGAGGUAAUGGCUCACCAAGGCGACGACGGGUAGCCGGCCUGAGAGGGUGACCGGCCACACUGGGACUGAGACACGGCCCAGACUCCUACGGGAGGCAGCAGUGGGGAAUAUUGCACAAUGGGCGAAAGCCUGAUGCAGCAACGCCGCGUGAGGGAUGACGGCCUUCGGGUUGUAAACCUCUUUUAGUAGGGAAGAAGCGAAAGUGACGGUACCUGCAGAAAAAGCACCGGCUAACUACGUGCCAGCAGCCGCGGUAAUACGUAGGGUGCAAGCGUUGUCCGGAAUUAUUGGGCGUAAAGAGCUCGUAGGCGGUUUGUCGCGUCUGCUGUGAAAUCCCGAGGCUCAACCUCGGGCUUGCAGUGGGUACGGGCAGACUAGAGUGCGGUAGGGGAGAUUGGAAUUCCUGGUGUAGCGGUGGAAUGCGCAGAUAUCAGGAGGAACACCGAUGGCGAAGGCAGAUCUCUGGGCCGUAACUGACGCUGAGGAGCGAAAGCAUGGGGAGCGAACAGGAUUAGAUACCCUGGUAGUCCAUGCCGUAAACGUUGGGCGCUAGAUGUAGGGACCUUUCCACGGUUUCUGUGUCGUAGCUAACGCAUUAAGCGCCCCGCCUGGGGAGUACGGCCGCAAGGCUAAAACUCAAAGGAAUUGACGGGGGCCCGCACAAGCGGCGGAGCAUGCGGAUUAAUUCGAUGCAACGCGAAGAACCUUACCAAGGCUUGACAUACACCGGAAACGGCCAGAGAUGGUCGCCCCCUUGUGGUCGGUGUACAGGUGGUGCAUGGUUGUCGUCAGCUCGUGUCGUGAGAUGUUGGGUUAAGUCCCGCAACGAGCGCAACCCUCGUUCUAUGUUGCCAGCGGGUUAUGCCGGGGACUCAUAGGAGACUGCCGGGGUCAACUCGGAGGAAGGUGGGGAUGACGUCAAAUCAUCAUGCCCCUUAUGUCUUGGGCUUCACGCAUGCUACAAUGGCCGGUACAAAGGGCUGCGAUACCGUAAGGUGGAGCGAAUCCCAAAAAGCCGGUCUCAGUUCGGAUUGAGGUCUGCAACUCGACCUCAUGAAGUCGGAGUCGCUAGUAAUCGCAGAUCAGCAACGCUGCGGUGAAUACGUUCCCGGGCCUUGUACACACCGCCCGUCAAGUCAUGAAAGUCGGUAACACCCGAAGCCG